CGGUGUCAAAUUGACUCUAGUAGGGAGUCCAGCUUUUAUUAAAAUGGCGACUCCCUAACGGAGUCAGAUUGACUCCUUC
Molecule: non-coding RNA, 79 nt
Organism: Pediculus humanus corporis (human body louse)
Lineage: Eukaryota; Metazoa; Arthropoda; Insecta; Psocodea; Pediculidae
Source: Rfam